UGGAUGUCCUCUUGUUAGUGAGUAACUCAGUGUGUCCUCUACCUUUCUCUACUUACCCUUCCAAAGCUCACGGAAAAAAAAGAAGUCAAAAAAGAAGAAGAAAAAGGAAAAAAAGAAGAAAAAGAAGAUGAAAAGCAAAAACAACAGGCUAGUUUGACUCAGGCCUUCGUUGACGCUGGAAUUCCACGUGAUGACUUUGAAGUUGUUGUCGUCACUUUUGACUAUGGGAUGAAAGACAAGGGCCCUCUUGUUGACACAUAUUU
Long non-coding RNA from Mugil cephalus (flathead mullet), 263 nucleotides. RefSeq lists it as uncharacterized. The record is from RefSeq and is a predicted model, not a curated record. The transcript is spliced from 3 exons. Lineage: Eukaryota; Metazoa; Chordata; Actinopteri; Mugiliformes; Mugilidae.